GUGGGGAAUCUUGCGCAAUGGGCGAAAGCCUGACGCAGCCAUGCCGCGUGGAUGAUGAAGGUCUUAGGAUUGUAAAAUCCUUUCACCGGUGAAGAUAAUGACUGUAGCCGGAGAAGAAGCCCCGGCUAACUUCGUGCCAGCAGCCGCGGUAAUACGAAGGGGGCUAGCGUUGCUCGGAUUUACUGGGCGUAAAGGGCGCGUAGGCGGACAUUUAAGUCAGGGGUGAAAUCCCGGGGCUCAACCUCGGAACUGCCUUUGAUACUGGGUGUCUUGAGUAUGAGAGAGGUGUGUGGAACUCCGAGUGUAGAGGUGAAAUUCGUAGAUAUUCGGAGGAACACCAGUGGCGAAGGCGGCUCACUGGCUCGAUACUGACGCUGAGGUGCGAAAGCGUGGGGAGCAAACAGGAUUAGAUACCCGGGUAGUCC
Molecule: ribosomal RNA, 425 nt
Filed under: uncultured bacterium
Lineage: Bacteria
Description: partial 16S ribosomal RNA
Rfam family: Bacterial small subunit ribosomal RNA
Source: RNAcentral